CCCUUAGAUGUUCUGGGCCGCACGCGCGCUACACUGAUGAAUGCAACGAGCUCUACCCUUGACCGAAAGGCCCGGGUAAACUUGUGAAACUUCAUCGUGAUGGGGAUAGAUUAUUGCAAUUAUUAAUCUUCAACGAGGAAUUCCUAGUAAGCGCGAGUCAUCAGCUCGCGUUGAUUACGUCCCUGCCCUUUGUACACACCGCCCGUCGCUCCUACCGAUUGAAUGGUCCGGUGAGGCUUUGGGAUCUGAGCGGAAAGAGCGUUUCGCUGUUUCUGCCCGGAAAACUCAGUCGAACCUUAUCAUUUAGAGGAAGGAGAAGUCGUAACA
This 327-nucleotide ribosomal RNA is filed under the name uncultured eukaryote. RNAcentral describes it as "partial 18S ribosomal RNA". It matches the Rfam family "Eukaryotic small subunit ribosomal RNA", at positions 1470 to 1796 of the family's 1831-position model. The record is from RNAcentral.